Molecule: transfer RNA, 73 nt
Filed under: Trichonephila inaurata madagascariensis
Lineage: Eukaryota; Metazoa; Arthropoda; Arachnida; Araneae; Nephilidae
Rfam family: tRNA
About the family: Transfer RNA (tRNA) molecules are approximately 80 nucleotides in length. Their secondary structure includes four short double-helical elements and three loops (D, anti-codon, and T loops).
Source: Rfam by way of RNAcentral
GUCCCUGUAGCGCAAUGGAUAGCACGUUGGACUUCUAAUCCAACGGUCGUGGGUUCGAAUCCUACCUGGGAUA